GAGGAGAAAAAAUUGCAAUAAAUAAGGUAAAAGGUAAAAUUCAGUACAAUUCUUGGUAAUUGAAUUGGAUUAGUUUAGUGUGAGUGAGAGGAUGAUGAGUUAAAGUAUGCUCUGUCUCAAUCUCUUUUGUCUAAAACAAAUUAAGUAAAAAUUUUGCUUUGUUUAAGAGAUAAAGGAAAAUUAAAGUUAUAAAUAAAAGCAAAUCAAUAAUUUAAAAUUCUGAUAUGAACACAUUUGUUAGCACACUUUUUAACACACGUAGAGUUUGUUCUUUUCUGUUAUUUAAUUAUUUAAUUGGGGCGGGGGAGGAAGAAGAAAUGGCCAACCGUCGUCCACACGCAAUUGAAAAUGGUUUACGGUGAAAUAGUGGGGGUGAAAUAGUGGGCGCACGUUUUGAUGCGAAAUAUAUAAGCACACAAAUUAAACUCUCUUUUUAUCAAUUGUAGCAAAGUAUGUAAGUAGGGAUCGUUCUAGGCCGGAGAUUAGGAGGGAUUGC
Molecule: long non-coding RNA, 496 nt
Filed under: Malus domestica (apple)
Lineage: Eukaryota; Viridiplantae; Streptophyta; Magnoliopsida; Rosales; Rosaceae
Description: long non-coding RNA (MDOM_LNC018419)
Source: RNAcentral